Molecule: unclassified non-coding RNA, 161 nt
Filed under: soil metagenome
Description: partial internal transcribed spacer 1
Source: RNAcentral
CAGAGUUGCAAGACUCCCUAAACCAUUGUGAACCUACCUUCUACCGUUGCUUCGGCGGGCGGGCCCCAGCGCCCCCCCCGGCCCCCCGCGGGCGCCCGCCGGAGGAUACCCAAACUCUUGACAUUAGUGGCCUCUCUGAGUAUUCUUUACUGAAUAAGUCA